AACGAACGCUGGCGGCAUGCCUAACACAUGCAAGUCGAACGAGACCUUCGGGUCUAGUGGCGCACGGGUGCGUAACGCGUGGGAACCUGCCCUUAGGUUCGGAAUAACUCCCCGAAAGGGGUGCUAAUACCGGAUAAUGUCUUCGGACCAAAGAUUUAUUGCCUUUGGAUGGGCCCGCGUUGGAUUAGCUAGUUGGUAGGGUAAAAGCCUACCAAGGCGACGAUCCAUAGCUGGUCUGAGAGGAUGAUCAGCCACACUGGGACUGAGACACGGCCCAGACUCCUAUGGGAGGCAGCAGUGGGGAAUAUUGGACAAUGGGCGAAAGCCUGAUCCAGCAAUGCCGCGUGAGUGAUGAAGGCCUUAGGGUUGUAAAGCUCUUUUACCCGGGAUGAUAAUGACAGUACCGGGAGAAUAAGCUCCGGCUAACUCCGUG
Molecule: ribosomal RNA, 433 nt
Filed under: uncultured bacterium
Lineage: Bacteria
Description: partial 16S ribosomal RNA
Rfam family: Bacterial small subunit ribosomal RNA
Source: RNAcentral